This 253-nucleotide ribosomal RNA is filed under the name uncultured bacterium. RNAcentral's name for it is "partial 16S ribosomal RNA". It matches the Rfam family "Bacterial small subunit ribosomal RNA", at positions 524 to 776 of the family's 1533-position model. The record is from RNAcentral.
UACAGAGGUCUCAAGCGUUGUUCGGAUUCAUUGGGCGUAAAGGGUGCGUAGGCGGCGCGGUAAGUCGGGUGUGAAAUCUCGGGGCUUAACUCCGAAACUGCAUUCGAUACUGCCGUGCUUGAGGACUGGAGAGGAGACUGGAAUUUACGGUGUAGCGGUGAAAUGCGUAGAUAUUCGCAAGAACACCAGUGGCGAAGGCGGCUCACUGGCCCGGUACUGACGCUGAGGUGCGAAAGCGUGGGGAGCAAACAGG